RNAcentral lists this ribosomal RNA (407 nucleotides) under uncultured Microsporidia. RNAcentral's name for it is "SSU rRNA". It matches the Rfam family "Microsporidia small subunit ribosomal RNA", at positions 1 to 405 of the family's 1311-position model. The record is from RNAcentral. Lineage: Eukaryota; Fungi; Microsporidia.
CACCAGGUUGAUUCUGCCUGACGUAGAUGCUAGUCUCUAAGAUUAAGCCAUGCAUGUCCAGUGAACUCUCAGAGGGAACGACGAACGGCUCAGUAAUACUGCGAUGAUUUGCCCUGUCCAGAUAUAUAACUACGGGAAACUGUAGCUAAGAGGACAGGAUAAGACGCAGACCUAUCAGCUAGUUGGUAGUGUAAUGGACUACCAAGGCAGUCACGGGUAACGGGAAAUUAGGGUUUUAUCCCGGAGAGGGAGCCUGAGAGAUGGCUCCCACGUCCAUGGACGGCAGCAGGCGCGGAAAUUGCCCACUCUUGCAGGAGGAGUCAGUUAUGAGACAUGUGCGAAAGAACAGACUGCAAAGCGGUCUGUGUGAUGCGAUUGGAGGGCAAGUUUGGUGCCAGCAGCCGCGG